RNAcentral lists this long non-coding RNA (468 nucleotides) under Bos taurus (domestic cattle). RNAcentral describes it as "long non-coding RNA NONBTAT001861". The record is from RNAcentral. Lineage: Eukaryota; Metazoa; Chordata; Mammalia; Artiodactyla; Bovidae.
CAAGGUGGAAAACCAAGAGGACAGGAGUUAUAAUCCAGAGGAGGAGGUUUCUGGACCGUAGUACAGUCAUGGGAACUUUUGGGUUCUGGUGUUAGUUGCCUACAGGACUGAGAAUGUCUUUAUCUUCCUCUUGUUCCUAAAUGGAGUGCUGCUAUGAAUAUGUACCCUCCUAGUCUGCACCAGAAGACCAGCGACUUGGGUUCAGUAUUUUAUGCCACUGUAAAGUGUUCUCCCUUUGAAAUAAAAAAGGAGUUAGUAUGGCAAACCUGAAAUUCAAGUUUCCUUGGUGGAAACGGUGACUUAGGAUGUAUUAGCUCAGAAUAUAACAGACCGCGGCGAUAAGAAGUGGGCAACUUGGAGGUGAUGGUGGAUGCUCAGAAUUUUUGAGUUUUGGUGUACCGUAACUUUUCAUUUCUCUGGUUAACACUUGCCAAAAAAUAAAUCUUUUAAACCUGAAUUUCUACAGAG